Molecule: ribosomal RNA, 433 nt
Filed under: uncultured bacterium
Lineage: Bacteria
Description: partial 16S ribosomal RNA
Rfam family: Bacterial small subunit ribosomal RNA
Source: RNAcentral
AGCGAACGCUGGCGGCAGGCUUAACACAUGCAAGUCGAGCGGGCACUUCGGUGUCAGCGGCAGACGGGUGAGUAACACGUGGGAACGUACUCUUCGGUUCGGAAUAACGCUGGGAAACUAGCGCUAAUACCGGAUACGCCCUUUUGGGGAAAGGUUUACUGCCGAAGGAUCGGCCCGCGUCUGAUUAGCUAGUUGGUGGGGUAAUGGCCUACCAAGGCGACGAUCAGUAGCUGGUCUGAGAGGAUGAUCAGCCACACUGGGACUGAGACACGGCCCAGACUCCUACGGGAGGCAGCAGUGGGGAAUAUUGGACAAUGGGCGCAAGCCUGAUCCAGCCAUGCCGCGUGAGUGAUGAAGGCCUUAGGGUUGUAAAGCUCUUUUGUCCGGGACGAUAAUGACGGUACCGGAAGAAUAAGCCCCGGCUAACUUCGUG